GAAUUUCUCUCUUUGUAAAAGAUGGUUUCUAGCUGGACUCCACCUCCCAGUGAAGUGGUUGAGCAAAAGGCGAAAGACUGGAUAAGGCUUUUCUUGAGCUUGAAGCACAAGUGUCAAGGGUUUCAGGAAAAGAAUAUUACGCCCUAUAUGCACACCAGUCUUUCACUUCCCUUACUUUAUUUCAAAAUACGGAAAUGUCAAGAUGUUUAGUGGACAAGGGGUGGAGAAAAAUAAUGAUGACGCCAAGAGACACUACUUCUCCAGUAAUCUGCAUGACCCAGUGGGGGAGGUUCUGAAAGCUGAAGCGAGAAUAGACGAGACAUCACAAUUUAAGCGAAAGAAACGAAAGU
Molecule: long non-coding RNA, 350 nt
Organism: Halichondria panicea
Lineage: Eukaryota; Metazoa; Porifera; Demospongiae; Suberitida; Halichondriidae
Exons: 3
Source: RefSeq, a predicted model, not a curated record